Molecule: ribosomal RNA, 1387 nt
Filed under: Triticum aestivum (bread wheat)
Lineage: Eukaryota; Viridiplantae; Streptophyta; Magnoliopsida; Poales; Poaceae
Description: partial small subunit ribosomal RNA
Source: RNAcentral
CAUCAAUUCGUCCCCAUCCCCUUUCCUCUUUCUGCCAUAGUGAUAAGGUUCGUCAGCACAAAAUCGGCGGCCGGUGGAGGGCAAGCUGCUCGGCGGCGAUAACUCGCGCGACUGUGACGGCGAGUAGAGGGCAAGCUGCUCGACGGUGAGGAAAUUCAGUCGCUGUUGCGUCGAUAGCUCGUGCGACCGCGGCGAGAAAGAGACACGUCCGCGCGACGAGGGAGCCUAGCCGCUCACUGCUGACAGCUCGCGCGACUGCGGCCUGUGCAGGAGAGGCGCGUCCGCACGACUACGGAGCUAAGCCGCUAGCUGAAGGCUUACGUCCAGCACAACAAUGGAUGCAACCUGUCCGUUGGACUGUCCGAGACAUAGAAGUUCAAUUCAACAAAGCUGCCAACAUCUUUCCGUGCAAACGUACAAAAACUCAAACCCUCACCCCAUCUCGUUUUGUUGUCCUUUCUUUAAAGCAUGGCAAAAAAAUGUGUCGCCUCUGUUUUAUAUAGACCAAUUUUUCACUGGGACAGAAAUAUUGCCUACAACGGCAAACUAUAGUAGCCUGUAAUAGUAAAUCAUGUGUUGCAGAAAUGCACACCAUGCUGCCUGCAUGGCAAAGCACAAGAAGAUUGACUCGUUCCAUUGGUCUAAUUUUUGACAGCUUUAUAACUCAAUCAGUUCUAAACAAAAAAUAUGUUGUUCAACUACAACAUGACCAGUUGCUAAAUCCUAGAUGUUAUCAGUAAACAAUAACGCUAGAUUGAUUGUGCUGUUUACAGAAUUGGUGAAAUUUGCACUCCAUCUUCCAACAUCCAAAGUAGUCAAGUUUAAUUAAUUAGAGCUGGGUAAAGAAGGUAUAUGACCUAGAAAUUCAAACACUAAGUCUGGCUGACACAACUCCUUUCACUUGCUGUCAUGCCGAUUUUGUAGAUCUGGAGUUGUCAGUUCUGGCUGACCUUUGUUUUUUGUGUUCCUGCAUACACCGACCAAGUGCCUCAAUGUGGUCAUGCUAAUUUCUGGCACCAAGUGAGCCCGACCAAGAGGAGCUAGCCAGAUUUGGAGUUCUCGUUGCCGCCAUCCUUCGUUGCCCAUCAGGCCUGGCCUUUCGUAGGUGUGUGUACUGCAUGCUUUCAUGUUCAGUGGCGGUCUGGCACCAAUCUGCAGAGGAGCUUGGUAGAUUUGGAGUUGUCGUUGCCAGUGGCGGAGCUUGACAAGAAUCCAUGGGAGGGCCAAAGACACACACACAAAAAAAUUAACCAACUGCAACAAACCAGAACUUGUAGCCUCCAGUCAAAUUUAUACUUAUAUUAUCCAUAUUGGUUGUAAAAUACAUGUAUGAUUAACAAUAUAUAUUUCAUAAGAGAACUAACUACACCAAAAUAUACGACUUGUC